AGUCCUAUAGCUCAGCUUGGUUAGAACACUUCUCUGAUAAGGAAGGGGUCGACAGUUCAAAUCUGUCUAGGACUACUA
RNAcentral lists this transfer RNA (78 nucleotides) under Azobacteroides pseudotrichonymphae (SeqCode). RNAcentral's name for it is "Candidatus Azobacteroides pseudotrichonymphae tRNA-Ile". It matches the Rfam family "tRNA". Rfam says of the family: Transfer RNA (tRNA) molecules are approximately 80 nucleotides in length. Their secondary structure includes four short double-helical elements and three loops (D, anti-codon, and T loops). Further hydrogen bonds mediate the characteristic L-shaped molecular structure. tRNAs have two regions of fundamental functional importance: the anti-codon, which is responsible for specific mRNA codon recognition, and the 3' end, to which the tRNAs corresponding amino acid is attached (by aminoacyl-tRNA synthetases). tRNAs cope with the degeneracy of the genetic code in two manners: having more than one tRNA (with a specific anti-codon) for a particular amino acid; and 'wobble' base-pairing, i.e. permitting non-standard base-pairing at the 3rd anti-codon position. The record is from RNAcentral. Lineage: Bacteria; Pseudomonadati; Bacteroidota; Bacteroidia; Bacteroidales.